AUUGAACGCUGGCGGCAGGCCUAACACAUGCAAGUCGAACGAGUGGCGGACGGGUGAGCAAUGUCUGGGAAACUGCCCGAUGGAGGGGGAUAACUACUGGAAACGGUAGCUAAUACCGCAUACCAUCGGAGUUGACCAGAUUGGAUUAGAUUGUAGGUGAGGUAACGGCUCACCUAGGCGACGAUCCCUAGCUGGUCUGAGAGGAGAACCAGCCACACUGGAACUGGGACACGGUCCAGACUCCUACGGGAGGCAGCAGUUGGGAAUAUUGCAACAUGGGCGAAAGCCUGAUCCAGCCAUGCCGCGUGUGUGAAGAAGGUCUUCGGAGUGUAAAGCACUUUAAGUUGGGAGGCGUUACCAACAGAAUAAGCACCGGCUAACUUCGUGCCAGCAGCCGCGGUAAUUC
This 406-nucleotide ribosomal RNA is filed under the name uncultured bacterium. Its description in RNAcentral is "partial 16S ribosomal RNA". It matches the Rfam family "Bacterial small subunit ribosomal RNA", at positions 30 to 526 of the family's 1533-position model. The record is from RNAcentral.